GAUGAACGCUGGCGGCGUGCUUAACACAUGCAAGUCGAGCGAGAAGUUUUGAAAAGAUUCUUCGGAUGAAAUUUAAAAUGGAAAGCGGCGGCCGGGUGAGUAACGCGUAGGCAACCUGCCCCAUACAAAGGGAUAGCAUUUGGAAACGAAUAUUAAUACCUUAUGAAACUUAACUAGUGCAUGCUAGGUAGGUCAAAGAUUUAUCGGUAUAGGAUGGGCCUGCGUCUGAUUAGCUAGUUGGUGAGGUAACGGCGCACCAAGGCGACGAUCAGUAGCCGAACUGAGAGGGUGAACGGCCACAUUGGAACUGAGACACGGUCCAAACUCCUACGGGAGGCAGCAGUGGGGAAUAUUGCACAAUGGGGGAAGCCCUGAUGCAGCAACGCCGCGUGAACGAUGAAGGCCUUUGGGUCGUAAAGUUCUGUUCUAGGUGAUGAAAACUGACAGUAACCUAGGAGAAAGCCCCGGCUAACUCCGUG
Molecule: ribosomal RNA, 479 nt
Filed under: uncultured bacterium
Lineage: Bacteria
Description: partial 16S ribosomal RNA
Rfam family: Bacterial small subunit ribosomal RNA
Source: RNAcentral